GCCGGCCUAGCUCAAUUGGUAGAGCAACUGACUUGUAAUCAGUGGGUUGGGGGUUCAAGUCCUCUGGCCGGCACCA
This 76-nucleotide transfer RNA is filed under the name Staphylococcus aureus. RNAcentral's name for it is "tRNA-Thr". It matches the Rfam family "tRNA". Rfam says of the family: Transfer RNA (tRNA) molecules are approximately 80 nucleotides in length. RNAcentral also lists the same sequence under 4 other names. The record is from RNAcentral. Lineage: Bacteria; Bacillati; Bacillota; Bacilli; Caryophanales; Staphylococcaceae.